CCCUUAGAUGUCCUGGGCCGCACGCGCGUUACACUGAUGCAUUCAACGAGCUUAUAACCUUGGCCGAGAGGCCUGGGCAAUCUUGUUAACGUGCAUCGUGAUAGGGAUAGAUUAUUGAAAUUAUUAAUCUUGAACGAGGAAUUCCUAGUAAACGCAGAUCAUCAAUCUGCAUUGAUUACGUCCCUGCCCUUUGUACACACCGCCCGUCGCACCUACCGAUUGGAUGUUUCGGUGAAGAUUCCGGAUAGGACUUUUUUGAUUUAUUUCAAUUUUGUCUUAAAAGCUAUCUAAACCUCAACAUUUAGAGGAAGGUGAAGUCGUAACA
Molecule: ribosomal RNA, 325 nt
Filed under: uncultured eukaryote
Lineage: Eukaryota
Description: partial 18S ribosomal RNA
Rfam family: Eukaryotic small subunit ribosomal RNA
Source: RNAcentral